GGAGUUAGCCGGUGCUUCUUCUGCGAGUAACGUCACAGAUGUAAGGUAUUAACUUACACCCUUUCCUCCUCGCUGAAAGUGCUUUACAACCCGAAGGCCUUCUUCACACACGCGGCAUGGCUGCAUCAGGGUUUCCCCCAUUGUGCAAUAUUCCCCACUGCUGCCUCCCGUAGGAGUCUGGGCCGUGUCUCAGUCCCAGUGUGGCUGAUCAUCCUCUCAGACCAGCUAGGGAUCGUCGCCUAGGUGAGCCUUUACCUCACCUACUAGCUAAUCCCACCUGGGCUUAUCCAUCAGCGCAAGGCCCGAAGGUCCCCUGCUUUCCCCCGUAGGGCGUAUGCGGUAUUAGCAGUCGUUUCCAACUGUUAUCCCCACAAAUGGGCAAAUUCCCAGGCAUUACUCACCCGUCCGCCGCUCGUCAUCUUCAAAAGCAAGCUUUUGAAAUGUUACCGCUCGACUUGCAUGUGUAGCNGCGCAGCGUCAUCUGACAAGAUACAAUACUGA
RNAcentral lists this ribosomal RNA (501 nucleotides) under uncultured bacterium. RNAcentral describes it as "partial 16S ribosomal RNA". The record is from RNAcentral.